AGUUCUGUGGUGUAUAACACGUCGGGUUGCAAACCCGAAGAUGUAGGCUCACGACCUGCCGGGGCUU
Molecule: transfer RNA, 67 nt
Filed under: Esox niger (chain pickerel)
Lineage: Eukaryota; Metazoa; Chordata; Actinopteri; Esociformes; Esocidae
Also listed under: 2 other names
Description: tRNA-Cys
Rfam family: tRNA
About the family: Transfer RNA (tRNA) molecules are approximately 80 nucleotides in length. Their secondary structure includes four short double-helical elements and three loops (D, anti-codon, and T loops).
Source: RNAcentral